UCCCUGGAGGACUAGUGGUUAGGCCUCAGCAUGCUCACCUCUGUGGCCGGGGUUCAAUUCCUAACCAGGGAA
This is a non-coding RNA of Pangasianodon gigas (Mekong giant catfish), 72 nucleotides long. The record is from the annotation of a GenBank genome assembly. NCBI's taxonomy places the organism in Eukaryota, Metazoa, Chordata, Actinopteri, Siluriformes, Pangasiidae.